Molecule: ribosomal RNA, 253 nt
Filed under: uncultured bacterium
Lineage: Bacteria
Description: partial 16S ribosomal RNA
Rfam family: Bacterial small subunit ribosomal RNA
Source: RNAcentral
UACAGAGGUCUCAAGCGUUGUUCGGAUUCAUUGGGCGUAAAGGGUGCGUAGGCGGCGCGGUAAGUCGGGUGUGAAAUCUCGGGGCUUAACUCGGAAACUGCAUUCGAUACUGCCGUGCUUGAGGACUGGAGAGGAGACUGGAAUUUACGGUGUAGCGGUGAAAUGCGUAGAUAUCGUGAGGAAGACCAGUGGCGAAGGCGGGUCUCUGGACAGUUCCUGACGCUGAGGCACGAAGGCCAGGGGAGCAAACGGG